AGCAGCCGCGGUAAUUCCAGCUCCAAUAGCGUAUAUUAAAGUUGUUGCAGUUAAAAAGCUCGUAGUUGAACUUCGGGGUCUACCCAUUGGUCAGGCUUAAUUGUCUGUACUGGUGAGAUGGAUCUCUACCUUCUGAGGAACUUUCAUGCCAUUUAUUUGGUGUGGUUGGAAAUCAGGACUGUUACUUUGAAAAAAUUAGAGUGUUUAAAGCAGACUAUCGUCUGAAUACAUUAGCAUGGAAUAAUGAAAUAGGACGGACUGAUUCUAUUUCGUUGGUUUCUAGGAUCACCGUAAUGAUUAAUAGGGAUAGUUGGGGGCAUUAGUAUUCAAUUGUCAGAGGUGAAAUUCUUGGAUUUAUUGAAGACUAACUACUGCGAAAGCAUUUGCCAAGGAUGUUUUCAUUAAUCAAGAACGAAAGUUAGGGGAUCGAAGACGAUCAGAUACCGUCGUAGUCUUAACCAUAAACUAUGCCGACUAGGGAUCGGACGAAGUUAAUUUUAUAAUGACGCGUUCGGCACCUUACG
This 524-nucleotide non-coding RNA is filed under the name uncultured Glomeromycotina. RNAcentral describes it as "SSU rRNA". It matches the Rfam family "Eukaryotic small subunit ribosomal RNA", at positions 569 to 1092 of the family's 1831-position model. RNAcentral also lists the same sequence under 1 other name. The record is from RNAcentral. Lineage: Eukaryota; Fungi; Glomeromycota.